AACGAACGCUGGCGGCGUGGAUAAGACAUGCAAGUCGUGCGGAAACUGCUUGGUAGCAAUAUCGAGCAGCUUCAGCGGCGAAAGGGUGCGUAACGCGUGGGCAAUCUUCCUAAAAGCUUGGAAUAACACCGAGAAAUCGGAGCUAAUACCGAAUGUGACUACUGGGCGGAUUCGCCUUGGCAGUUAAAGCCGGGGGACCGAAAGGCCUGGCACUUUUAGAUGAGCCCGCGGCCUAUCAGCUAGUUGGCGGGUAACAGCCCACCAAGGCUAAGACGGGUAGCUGGUCUGAGAGGACGACCAGCCACACUGGAACUGAGACACGGUCCAGACACCUACGGGUGGCAGCAGUCGAGAAUUUUUCACAAUGGGGAACCUGAUGGAGCGACGCCGCGUGGGGGGAUGAAUGGCUUCGGCCCGUAAACCCCUGUCAUUUGCGAGCAAAUGUAGCUAGCCUAAUACGCUGCCACUUGAUAGUAGCGAAAGAGGAAGGGACGGCUAAACUC
RNAcentral lists this ribosomal RNA (503 nucleotides) under uncultured bacterium. Its description in RNAcentral is "bacterial SSU rRNA". It matches the Rfam family "Bacterial small subunit ribosomal RNA", at positions 29 to 504 of the family's 1533-position model. The record is from RNAcentral.